AAUAUGAAUUUCCCGUAGGACGGGAAGGUGUCAACGUUUUGCAUUUCGAAUAAACAUUGCACUUGUCCCGGCCUAUGGGCGGUUUGUAAUAAACA
This is a non-coding RNA of Drosophila melanogaster (fruit fly), 95 nucleotides long. The record is from Ensembl. Lineage: Eukaryota; Metazoa; Arthropoda; Insecta; Diptera; Drosophilidae.